Molecule: ribosomal RNA, 435 nt
Filed under: uncultured bacterium
Lineage: Bacteria
Description: partial 16S ribosomal RNA
Rfam family: Bacterial small subunit ribosomal RNA
Source: RNAcentral
AACGAACGCUGGCGGCAUGCCUAACGCAUGCAAGUCGAACGAUUGCCUUCGGGUGAUAGUGGCGCACGGGUGCGUAACGCGUGGGAAUCUGCCCUUAGGUUCGGAAUAACAGCUGGAAACGGCUGCUAAUACCGGAUGAUAUCGCGAGAUCAAAGAUUUAUCGCCUGAGGAUGAGCCCGCGUUGGAUUAGGUAGUUGGUGGGGUAAAGGCCUACCAAGCCGACGAUCCAUAGCUGGUCUGAGAGGAUGAUCAGCCACACUGGGACUGAGACACGGCCCAGACUCCUACGGGAGGCAGCAGUGGGGAAUAUUGGACAAUGGGCGCAAGCCUGAUCCAGCAAUGCCGCGUGAGUGAUGAAGGCCCUAGGGUUGUAAAGCUCUUUUACCCGGGAAGAUAAUGACUGUACCGGGAGAAUAAGCCCCGGCUAACUCCGUG